GAUGAAGAACGCAGCGAAAUGCGAUACGUAAUGUGAAUUGCAGAAUUCAGUGAAUCAUCGAAUCUUUGAACGCACAUUGCGCCUGCCAGCACUCUGGCAGGCAUGCCUGUUCGAGCGUCAUUUCAACCAUCAAGCCCUAGGCUUGCGUUGGAGCCCUGCGGCUGCCGCAGGCCCCUAAAAGCAGUGGCGGGCUCGCUAUCACACCGAGUGCAGUAGAUUACUCUUCGCUCAGGGCGUGUGGCGGGUUCCAGCCGUGAAACCCCCUACUUCUCAAGGUUGACCUCGGAUCAGGUAGGAAUACCCGCUGAACUUAAGCAUACCAAUAAGCGGAGGA
RNAcentral lists this unclassified non-coding RNA (334 nucleotides) under soil metagenome. RNAcentral describes it as "partial contains 5.8S ribosomal RNA, internal transcribed spacer 2, and large subunit ribosomal RNA". The stretch from base 1 to 120 matches the Rfam family "5.8S ribosomal RNA", at positions 35 to 154 of the family's 154-position model. The record is from RNAcentral.